CGCUCAGCUUGGUAGAGCACUUGGUUUGGGACCAAGGGGUCGCAGGUUCGAAUCCUGUCUUCCCGACCA
RNAcentral lists this transfer RNA (69 nucleotides) under Bacillus zhangzhouensis. RNAcentral describes it as "tRNA-Pro". It matches the Rfam family "tRNA", at positions 9 to 71 of the family's 71-position model. Rfam says of the family: Transfer RNA (tRNA) molecules are approximately 80 nucleotides in length. Their secondary structure includes four short double-helical elements and three loops (D, anti-codon, and T loops). Lineage: Bacteria; Bacillati; Bacillota; Bacilli; Caryophanales; Bacillaceae. The record is from RNAcentral.